Molecule: ribosomal RNA, 1359 nt
Filed under: uncultured bacterium
Lineage: Bacteria
Description: bacterial SSU rRNA
Rfam family: Bacterial small subunit ribosomal RNA
Source: RNAcentral
GAUGAACGCUAGCUACAGGCUUAACACAUGCAAGUCGAGGGGCAGCAUUUCAGUUUGCUUGCAAACUGGAGAUGGCGACCGGCGCACGGGUGAGUAACACGUAUCCAACCUGCCGAUAACUCGGGGAUAGCCUUUCGAAAGAAAGAUUAAUACCCGAUGGUAUAAUCAGACCGCAUGGUCUUGUUAUUAAAGAAUUUCGGUUAUCGAUGGGGAUGCGUUCCAUUAGGCAGUUAGUGAGGUAACGGCUCACCAAACCUUCGAUGGAUAGGGGUUCUGAGAGGAAGGUCCCCCACAUUGGAACUGAGACACGGUCCAAACUCCUACGGGAGGCAGCAGUGAGGAAUAUUGGUCAAUGGGCGCAGGCCUGAACCAGCCAAGUAGCGUGAAGGAUGACUGCCCUAUGGGUUGUAAACUUCUUUUAUAUGGGAAUAAAGUUUUCCACGUGUGGAAUUUUGUAUGUACCAUAUGAAUAAGGAUCGGCUAACUCCGUGCCAGCAGCCGCGGUAAUACGGAGGAUCCGAGCGUUAUCCGGAUUUAUUGGGUUUAAAGGGAGCGUAGGUGGACAGUUAAGUCAGUUGUGAAAGUUUGCGGCUCAACCGUAAAAUUGCAGUUGAUACUGGCUGUCUUGAGUACAGUAGAGGUGGGCGGAAUUCGUGGUGUAGCGGUGAAAUGCUUAGAAAUCACGAAGAACUCCGAUUGCGAAGGCAGCUCACUGGACUGCAACUGACACUGAUGCUCGAAAGUGUGGGUAUCAAACAGGAUUAGAUACCCUGGUAGUCCACACAGUAAACGAUGAAUACUCGCUGUUUGCGAUAUACAGUAAGCGGCCAAGCGAAAGCAUUAAGUAUUCCACCUGGGGAGUACGCCGGCAACGGUGAAACUCAAAGGAAUUGACGGGGGCCCGCACAAGCGGAGGAACAUGUGGUUUAAUUCGAUGAUACGCGAGGAACCUUACCCGGGCUUAAAUUGCAUUUGAAUAUAUUGGAAACAGUAUAGCCGUAAGGCAAAUGUGAAGGUGCUGCAUGGUUGUCGUCAGCUCGUGCCGUGAGGUGUCGGCUUAAGUGCCAUAACGAGCGCAACCCUUAUCUUUAGUUACUAACAGGUCAUGCUGAGGACUCUAGAGAGACUGCCGUCGUAAGAUGUGAGGAAGGUGGGGAUGACGUCAAAUCAGCACGGCCCUUACGUCCGGGGCUACACACGUGUUACAAUGGGGGGUACAGAAGGCAGCUACCUGGUGACAGGAUGCUAAUCCCAAAAGCCUCUCUCAGUUCGGAUCGAAGUCUGCAACCCGACUUCGUGAAGCUGGAUUCGCUAGUAAUCGCGCAUCAGCCAUGGCGCGGUGAAUACGUUCCCGGGCCU